Molecule: long non-coding RNA, 330 nt
Organism: Saccostrea cuccullata (small rock oyster)
Lineage: Eukaryota; Metazoa; Mollusca; Bivalvia; Ostreida; Ostreidae
Exons: 3
Source: RefSeq, a predicted model, not a curated record
UAGUUGUAAACAAAUGGAAAUUGAAAGUAAAAGUGCAACGGCACGGUAUAUUUUUUCUGGCAUUUUUUGUUUUCCAAUAUCUCGAACUUUCACGACAAAAAGGUCAUUUGCCCGAAAUUCAAUACAUGUAUCAGUGAGAGGGGCUAAAGUUUGUAUGGAAGUCUAUGGGAAAACAUUUGGUGGUGUUUGUCCUAUAGAAUAGCAAUGCAUUAUCAAGAAGGAAGAGAUUAAUGAACCCUACCCUCUUACAAUGAACAACACAUGGACACUCUCGGGAUGAUCCCUUUGCUUUCAUUAAGAGUUCCAAGAUGUUGGUCUGAUUGACUGGGG